This 253-nucleotide ribosomal RNA is filed under the name uncultured bacterium. RNAcentral's name for it is "partial 16S ribosomal RNA". It matches the Rfam family "Bacterial small subunit ribosomal RNA", at positions 524 to 776 of the family's 1533-position model. The record is from RNAcentral.
GACAGAGGGUGCAAACGUUGUUCGGAAUUACUGGGCGUAAAGCGCGUGUAGGCUGCUCCGCAAGUCGGAUGUGAAAGCCCUGGGCUCAACCUAGGAAGUGCAUUCGAUACUGCAGAGCUUGAGUCCUGGAGAGGAAGGCGGAAUUCUCGGUGUAGAGGUGAAAUUCGUAGAUAUCGAGAGGAACACCAGUGGCGAAGGCGGGUCUCUGGACAGUUCCUGACGCUGAGGCACGAAGGCCAGGGGAGCAAACGGG